Molecule: long non-coding RNA, 573 nt
Organism: Homo sapiens (human)
Lineage: Eukaryota; Metazoa; Chordata; Mammalia; Primates; Hominidae
Gene: ULK4P2
Product: ULK4 pseudogene 2
Source: Ensembl
UUUCCAGCCGCGCUCCCACGAGGGUCACGGCGGCGGGGAGAGGUGGAGCCGCGAGAGCUCGGCCGGGGGCCCCGCCUGGUGGUCGCGGCCAUGACAGCGGCUCGGGACAGGCUCCUUUUCCGCGCCCCUCCCGCCGGAGGUGAGGGGAAGAUGUCCAUGUCCGGGUUCAAGGCCAAACCGAAGUUACUGGCUUCUAUCUUCCAGGAGAACCAGGAGCCACAGCCGCGGCUCACGCCCCACCGCAACAUUAAGAUUACAAGUGGACACCUGAGUCAGCAGGACCUGGAAUCCCAGAUGAGAGAGCUUAUCUACACGACUCAGAUCUUGUUGUCACCCCCAUUAUUGACAAUCCAAAGGUGCAGAAAGCACUCUGACAAAUAAUGAAACAACCACCAUCGGUUAAAUUUGAUGCAAAAAUAUUGCAUCUACCAGCAUUUUCAGUUCCAAUUGCUAAUCCAGCAUUUGUGGAUAGCUGCAAACUGUGAUAUAUGGGCCAAGGUUGCUCGGGUGAUUGGUUUACUGGCUUCGCACAAAACUGAUCUCCAGGAAAAUACACCUGUUGUUGAGGCCUUC